Molecule: ribosomal RNA, 198 nt
Filed under: uncultured bacterium
Lineage: Bacteria
Description: partial 16S ribosomal RNA
Rfam family: Bacterial small subunit ribosomal RNA
Source: RNAcentral
ACGCUCGACACCUACGGGAGACAGCAGUGGGGAAUAUUGCACAAUGGGGGAAACCCUGAUGCAGCGACGCCGCGUGAGCGAAGAAGUAUCUCGGUAUGUAAAGCUCUAUCAGCAGGGAAGAAGAUGACGGUACCUGACUAAGAAGCACCGGCUAAAUACGUGCCAGCAGCCGCGGUAAUCUGAGCGGGCUGGCAAGGC